AUUUUGCGGUCGUCGUCAACAUGCUUGCUUUGCUGCUGCCUCCAAUUCUUAUUUCACCAAACUGAGAGAAACCUUUUUUUUGUACUGUAAAACCCUAAAAUUCGAUUAUUGUGGAGAGAAAUGAGCUCAGAGGUGUUGCUCAAUUACGACCCUCCCGAGCUGAGUUUCCAAUUUGAUCAGAACAGACAGCUAUCAUCUUCUGUCCGAUUGUUGAAUAAAACCGACGAUUAUGUUGCUUUCAAGCUCAAGUCCACUAAUCCGAGAUAUUAUGUGGUUCGACCAAGAAUUGGAAUUCUGUUGCCUCAAUCAACUUGUGAAAUCAAAGUGCGCGCCCUGAGGGAAUCUCAGCACAGUCUGAGGUCCAAGGACAAGUUCAUGAUUGAAAGUGUAGCUGCAGCUCCUGAUACAACCGUGGAAGAUGCUCGGAAACUGUUUGAUAAGGAGUCCGGACAUCCUAUUCAAGAGUUCAUACUACGAGUCAAUUACAGUAGGCCAACAGAAUCUUCACCUGACACAUCUGUCAUUGAAAAUACAGAUGUAUCUGCUCCUGAGGUUAAUAGAUCUCUUACGGAACCUCAUGAGAACGGUUUACAGGUCACUAGCUCUGUCACUGACUCUCAUGACUAUAAUUUACGGGUCAUCAACAAUGUUAAUGAACUUCGUCCCAAUGGCGCACAGGAAAAUGAUAUCACUCGUAGUGGUGACUCAAUUCUCGGGCGCUUUAUCAGCAAUUGUACUGGUGAAUCAAUUCUAAAGGAGGUCAUUGGUAGCUUGCUGAUAUUAGUAUUCUUAUACCUCAUGAAACAGACGAUAUCAUGGAUCUGGAGUCUGGUAAUGUUUGUGGCCAUGGUGAUAAUAAAGAUGAUAAAGAAAUUGGUGUCUGAUUCUGUUGAAGACUGGAUAGUGAAAACACUUAUACAUAUCGUUAUGUAUAUUCUAUUUGGGCGCAAGGAAAACACUGGCCUUACGUAGCACUCUGCCUUCUUGUGUCAAUGAUAGUGAUAAACAGGGUUAUGAAAGGAAGUAUGUGUUCUAUGUGAAGCUAUGCCUGCAUGUAAAUUAGAAGCAUUUGGAGUUUUGUACAUGUUCUCUUUUAGAUGGCGUAUAUUAUUACAAUGGAAUGGACUACAGAUAGUGAUUGUAAGCAUUUGCCACGAAAUGAGAGACACCCGCACUGAAAGGUGUUUGUGCAGUUUUUUGUUCAUUCAAGCUCUUCUCCUGAUGUUGCGUGUUGUUGAGCAGUGCAGAUCAAAUUGUUCGUUACUUAGUUUACAAUGAUGUUUGUAAUAUAUUAAGAUCGAGAAACAACACCAUUCGUUGCAAAAUAGCUUCAUAUUUGAGUUUGUGUGGUUUGUUCAUUCAAAUGCUUAUUUGAAGAUCAACACCUGGAGUUACAUUUUUUUCUC
This is an RNA transcript of Salvia hispanica, 1406 nucleotides long. It is a transcript of the gene named vesicle-associated protein 1-4-like, with no coding region annotated. Lineage: Eukaryota; Viridiplantae; Streptophyta; Magnoliopsida; Lamiales; Lamiaceae. The record is from RefSeq and is a predicted model, not a curated record.